GGAGAGAUGUCCGAGUGGUUUAAGGAGCACGCUUGGAAAGCGUGUGUGGGGGUAACUCCACCGUGGGUUCGAAUCCCACUCUCUCCG
Molecule: transfer RNA, 87 nt
Filed under: Acidobacteriota bacterium
Lineage: Bacteria; Pseudomonadati; Acidobacteriota
Also listed under: 2 other names
Description: tRNA-Ser
Rfam family: tRNA
About the family: Transfer RNA (tRNA) molecules are approximately 80 nucleotides in length. Their secondary structure includes four short double-helical elements and three loops (D, anti-codon, and T loops). Further hydrogen bonds mediate the characteristic L-shaped molecular structure. tRNAs have two regions of fundamental functional importance: the anti-codon, which is responsible for specific mRNA codon recognition, and the 3' end, to which the tRNAs corresponding amino acid is attached (by aminoacyl-tRNA synthetases). tRNAs cope with the degeneracy of the genetic code in two manners: having more than one tRNA (with a specific anti-codon) for a particular amino acid; and 'wobble' base-pairing, i.e. permitting non-standard base-pairing at the 3rd anti-codon position.
Source: RNAcentral